This 263-nucleotide unclassified non-coding RNA is filed under the name plant metagenome. RNAcentral describes it as "partial contains small subunit ribosomal RNA, internal transcribed spacer 1, and 5.8S ribosomal RNA". The record is from RNAcentral.
UUUCUGUAGGUGAACCUGCGGAAGGAUCAUUAUUGUAUAACCGAGGUGCGAGGGCUGUCGCUGACCCGAAAGGUCAUGCACGCCCGAGUGCCCUCACACACAUCCAUCUCACCCCUAUGUGCACCACCGCGUGGGUCCCCCUUUGGCUUGUUCGGAGGGGGGCUUACGUUUUCACACAAACUUUGUAUGCAGUGUAGAAUGUAUUUUUUGUUUUUGCGAUCACGCAAUCAAUACAACUUUCAACAACGGAUCUCUUGGCUCUC